AUUGAACGCUGGCGGCAGGCCUAACACAUGCAAGUCGAGCGGAUGAAGGGAGCUUGCUCCUGGAUUCAGCGGCGGACGGGUGAGUAAUGCCUAGGAAUCUGCCUGGUAGUGGGGGAUAACGUCCGGAAACGGGCGCUAAUACCGCAUACGUCCUGAGGGAGAAAGUGGGGGAUCUUCGGACCUCACGCUAUCAGAUGAGCCUAGGUCGGAUUAGCUAGUUGGUGGGGUAAAGGCCUACCAAGGCGACGAUCCGUAACUGGUCUGAGAGGAUGAUCAGUCACACUGGAACUGAGACACGGUCCAGAAGCCUACGGGAGGCAGCAGUGGGGAAUAUUGGACAAUGGGCGAAAGCCUGAUCCAGCCAUGCCGCGUGUGUGAAGAAGGUCUUCGGAUUGUAAAGCACUUUAAGUUGGGAGGAAGGGCAGUAAGUUAAUACCUUGCUGUUUUGACGUUACCAACAGAAUAAGCACCGGCUAACUUCGUG
Molecule: ribosomal RNA, 484 nt
Filed under: uncultured bacterium
Lineage: Bacteria
Description: partial 16S ribosomal RNA
Rfam family: Bacterial small subunit ribosomal RNA
Source: RNAcentral